CUACCAGUGUCAUUAACAAUUAAACAUGGAUGCUGCAAAGCGCCACAUUUGAAUACAUUUUCAAACUUUCUAGUUUUAGAUCAUUUUAUUUUAACAAUUUUGAACUCUACUCUUAAAUAUUUUUUUAAGUUUGUCGCAAAUGGGAAGAAUUGAUCAUUUACAGACUUAGCAAAGUUAAGUAUAUUUUUGGCAAUGAAAGUGGCCAUUCUUCACCAGCUACUGUUUACAUUGGUAAUGGCAAGAUUUUAGAGAGUCCCAGUUUCUUACAAUAUGUUCCUAAUCUUAGGGUGCUUGAUCUGUUAUUCCAAAGAGGAUUUACUUUGAAAACUUAUCAUCAAGCGCAUGAAAUUAUUGAUAAAGCUAAGAAACUGAAAGGCCUCAUAUUUUAUUCAUCGGCGGCAGUGCCUAGUCUGGCCAGUUAUUGUGAGACUCCUGAAAUGGUUGCAAUAAUGCAACCGAAUGCAACUUGGUAUAAAAGUUUUGCUUGUUUUAGUUCCAAAGUGAAACAAUUGUUCGUUGAAAGUGCUCAAAUUAAGGAUUUAGAAUUAGCACACAUGAAUCUAGAUAAUUUAGUGAGGUUACAUUUUUCCACUA
Molecule: non-coding RNA, 594 nt
Organism: Tetranychus urticae (two-spotted spider mite)
Lineage: Eukaryota; Metazoa; Arthropoda; Arachnida; Trombidiformes; Tetranychidae
Source: RefSeq, a predicted model, not a curated record